AGUUUUUUGUGAUUUAAUAAAAAAUUUUUUCUGCUCAAUGAUUUUAAAUAGCCGCGGUAAUUUGACUGUGCAAAGGUAGCAUAAUCAUUUGCCUCAUAAUUGGGGGCUUGUAUGAAUGGAAUAACGAAAGAAAUGCUUUUUUGGGGAAGAUAUAUUAAUUUGUUUUUUUAGUGAAGAAACUAAAAUUUCUAAAGAGGACAAGAAGACCCUUUUGAUCUUUACUUUUUAUAAUUUAAUAAGGUUUAAGAGAGUUUGGUUGGGGCGACCGAGGAAAAUAAUAAUCUUCCUUUAUUUAUUUUGAUCCAGGGGUUUUGAAAAUAAGAGCAAGUUACCAAAGGGAUAACAGCGUAAUUUUUUUUGUGAGCUCUAAUUAAAAAAGAAGAUUGCGACCUCGAUGUUGACUUAUAGUUUCCCUUAGGUGCAGAAGCUUAAAGGGUGGGUCUGUUCGACCUUUAAAACUUUACGUGAGUUGAGUUCAGACCGGCGUGA
This 489-nucleotide ribosomal RNA is filed under the name Carcinonemertes errans. RNAcentral's name for it is "partial 16S ribosomal RNA". It matches the Rfam family "Bacterial large subunit ribosomal RNA", at positions 1889 to 2624 of the family's 2925-position model. The record is from RNAcentral. Lineage: Eukaryota; Metazoa; Nemertea; Enopla; Monostilifera; Carcinonemertidae.